GCCAGUGUGGCACAGUGGUUUCAGCAUCAGCCUGUGACUCUGGAGAGCAGGGUUUGAAUCCCAGCUUAGACA
Phrynosoma platyrhinos (Desert horned lizard) is the source of this 72-nucleotide non-coding RNA. The record is from the annotation of a GenBank genome assembly. Lineage: Eukaryota; Metazoa; Chordata; Lepidosauria; Squamata; Phrynosomatidae.